ACCAAUUAAAAUUAAUUUUAUUAAUAUUCGAUUGGUUCUUUUAAAAAUUUAGCAAUAUUAAUUUUAUCAAAAUAUAAAUAAAACCGAGUAAUCUUACAUAGUCAAAUCUAAUUGAUUUCUUGAGAUUCAAUAUAAGCCGUGAGUGAUUUAUAGCUGAAAAAAACAAAACAAAUUUGGAUAUGCUACUCCUAGGAAAAAAAAAAAAGAUAAUAAAUUCAUGGAUGCUUUUGAAGAGGUUCGCUCUAAGGAUCCCUUAACCAGUUACUAGAUUUAAAUGUCAGAAUCAAAUUGUGAUUAUGACCAAUUGUAACAUAUCUCUUUAGGCUUCUACUGGGACAAUCUGUUUAAUGUGGCUUGAGUUUGAUGCAUAAAAAAUAUGAAGAUCUUAGCAAACAAAUUAAAAUACUGCCAUCCAAUUCCAAAUAUGGUAUCCAUGAGUCUCAACGGCCAUUGAUAAGGACUCCAAAGCUGUGAAUUGAGAUUAAAGGAGUCAGAAUCAACUGAAUUUAUGGACUAAUCAAUAAGAGUUAGACCUUGAAGGCAAAGCUAAUGCAAACCAGAUCAUGCACGUCUUGAAGAUCCACUCUCUGGGCCUCAGAACUUCAAUUUCAUGCAUAAAGGUGGAAAUUAUCAGGGAGUAAAAGAUCAAUACAAAUAUUGAAAAAACACAUGUAUAUGUCUUUUUUUUUUAAUACUAUAAAAGCAAUGCAAGUAUUGAAGUACAGGUGCAGAUGAAGUGUAACAAUCAGAUUCAAUGAAUGUGGCAAGCGAACUAAUUAAUCUGACAUGUGGAGCAAAAUGGGAGUGAAUAAAGAAAAAUCAACGGCUCUCUUAGCAUUCCAAAAUCAGAAGCAAGCACAAACAUGAAUUGCCUUGAUCCCCAACUGUCUCUCUUCCUGCGCUUCCACUUAAGCCCCCUUCUCUCUAUUUAAUGUUAUUAUAAUCCAUUUCUCUUGCAACUUGUAACGUUUCCCGAGCUUUGCAUUUCGGGCCCCAUAGCUCACGCUAUGCAUUUUCACCUUGAAAGCGAUAGCUUCGAAGACAAAGUGAAAAUCCCACAACCAUACGCAGGAAUACCAUGUAAGAAAACACUUGCUUGAGCAUUUUUUUUCUUUUUUUUCGGGUAGUGGGUUGUCAGAUUCAUCAUCGAAGAGGCCUGAGUUGGGUUCCUACAGUCUCUCUCUUUAGUUCUUGUCAGUAUAUGCACAUUUGACUAGUUGAAUACAUUAUAGAACUUAUAAAAUCUGCUUUGUCCUUUGCUUGCUGAAUUAUGAAAAUCAUCAAUGGAGUUUUAGAAUCCAGCGAUCUUGUAUCAUGGGAAAUCAAAAUUCAGGAUUCUUACUUCUAAAGUGUCGCCAAUGUUGAUCACUAAUGCAUUUGGAAUGGGCUGAACAGGGAUCCACUUGUUGUCUUUAAGGAUUUGAAGUCCAACUGAGCUACCCUUUCCUUGCUGCAGCACAGUUAGGGCACUCCCAUCUGAAUGUGGGCUUAGGCCUAGAACAAGGUCAGGUCUUGAACAGGGGGGGUAGUAGUUCAUCCUUAUGGCUUGCACAGCCACCCCAAACAUUUCUUCAAAAGUAUCUGCUUUCAGGCCAAGGGUCAUGGCUAUGUACUUCAAUAGAUUCUGGCACAGCUUCCUCACUUCUCUAGAAUAAACCUCUACAGUUUCACUGCACAAGUAACAUAUGACAUUACUGCUAAGAAAUUUGUAGUAUUAAAACUCUAUAGUAUCAGUAAGGCACAAAACUUACCCAAAUUUUGGUGGAUUUAUCGGCCACAGUUUCGGGCUCCUUAUAUAGUGGGGCUCAAUUCCAAGAGCAAACAUGUUGCACCAGUCCAGCUUUUGGUCCUCAGAGAACACAAAGGCUUGUCCAUAUCCCUGAACUGUUCCUGGUGCCAUUGGAUACUUCUGCUUCUCCUCUAAAGGUAGCAUGAAAAAAUUCUGGGCCACCUCCUCCAUGCUCUCAAGCAAACUCAGAUUAAUUCCAUGGUUAAUCACCUGA
Manihot esculenta (cassava) is the source of this 2003-nucleotide long non-coding RNA. RefSeq lists it as uncharacterized. The record is from RefSeq and is a predicted model, not a curated record. Lineage: Eukaryota; Viridiplantae; Streptophyta; Magnoliopsida; Malpighiales; Euphorbiaceae. The transcript has 2 exons.